CCUACGGGAGGCAGCAGUGGGGGAUAUUGCACAAUGGGGGAAACCCUGAUGCAGCGACGCCGCGUGGGCGAAGAAGUAUUUCGGUAUGUAAAGCCCUAUCAGCAGGGAAGAAGAAAUGACGGUACCUGAGUAAGAAGCACCGGCUAAAUACGUGCCAGCAGCCGCGGUAAUACGUAUGGUGCAAGCGUUCUCCGGAUUUACGGGGUGUAAAGGGAGCGCAGGCGGCACGGCAAGCCUGAUGUGAAAGCCCGCGGCCCAACCGCGGGACUGCAUUGGGAACUACCGGGCUGGAGUGCCGGAGAGGUAGGCGGAAUUCCUAGUGUAGCGGUGAAAUGCGUAGAUAUUAGGAGGAACACCAGUGGCGAAGGCGGCUUACUGGACUGUAACUGACGUUGAGGCUCGAAAGCGUGGGGAGCAAACAGGAUUAGAUACCCCAGUAGUC
RNAcentral lists this ribosomal RNA (442 nucleotides) under uncultured bacterium. RNAcentral describes it as "partial 16S ribosomal RNA". It matches the Rfam family "Bacterial small subunit ribosomal RNA", at positions 338 to 795 of the family's 1533-position model. The record is from RNAcentral.